Molecule: ribosomal RNA, 299 nt
Filed under: Pseudopedinella elastica
Lineage: Eukaryota; Dictyochophyceae; Pedinellales
Description: partial Bacterial small subunit ribosomal RNA
Rfam family: Bacterial small subunit ribosomal RNA
Source: RNAcentral
UGGACGUUACUCGCAGAAUAAGCACCGGCUAACUCUGUGCCAGCAGCCGCGGUAAUACAGAGGGUGCGAGCGUUAAUCGGAUUUACUGGGCGUAAAGCGUGCGUAGGCGGCUUUUUAAGUCGGAUGUGAAAUCCCUGAGCUUAACUUAGGAAUUGCAUUCGAUACUGGGAAGCUAGAGUAUGGGAGAGGAUGGUAGAAUUCCAGGUGUAGCGGUGAAAUGCGUAGAGAUCUGGAGGAAUACCGAUGGCGAAGGCAGCCAUCUGGCCUAAUACUGACGCUGAGGUACGAAAGCAUGGGGA